GCUGCAGUGGUCCCCUACAUGGUCAGCUGCAGCAGGGUAGGGACCCUGUGGAAAACCCGUCCUGCUUUAAACCGAGGCCGAGGAAAGGACAGUGACAUGGGGGGCAGGGACAGUGUCACCUGAAGGGGCAGUGUCAGGAAAGUAUUCAAGUUUCUUAGGACAUGGAUAGAGAUCCAGACGGACUUGGGAGGGAAGGCCCACAUGCUGCCGUCGAGGUGGAAUAACUGCCUACUGUUGCUGGUUUUCAACCUGUCUCCAACAGGCAUGGCUAUCACUGGUGUCUCUGAGGACAGAACUAUGACUCAUUGCUUCCCUGACUCAUCGAAGACACCAACAAUGACUUCAGAACGAUGCAAAAUAACAGCAGCAAACCAGUUACUUUUUAAAAGAAACACGGUCAGAGAUUUGGCAUUUCCUAUCCUUCCAUCCUGUCAGGACCCUGCGCCUUUCACAAAAGACCUGCUGUGACUUUUCUUAGCAUCGACAUAAGACCUAUUACGCUUUCUUCCUGACUUCCAUGUGUGAAGUCAUGGCUACCCAGAAAUACUUCAAACUCAACGGCCACCAGCAUUGCCUUAAGGCACGGCUUUAAGGAUCCCUCCAUGGUGAGGAAAAGUAACUUCAAGAGAGAGAUUUUUAUUAGAAAGGAAGGUUUCUGGGGUAAAGCAAAUUGGGACCUGAGAAUUGCAAGUGACUUUGACGGCUGACCAUAGCUGAGGUGCGGAAUGGACUGUGCACCUGAUUUUAAAGCGGUGGGAUCGGUUUUUUUAACCACCUGCCUUCAUUUGUAAACUCGAAUGCUUAUGCUUGAAAAUAAAACAUUGCCACCAGCAAGCUGGCAACCUUGCUGGUCUUAAGGGUUAGCUGCUUUGGCUCUCCAAAAGCAAAACAAAAGAACUGGAUGUGGCAGCCUUCUUGGCAUCUCGGUUUCUUUACUGACCCCAAGGAGCCAGGGAGCUGCCCCUUAUUCUUCCAACACCUGCAGACAAUGAGCCUCUAAAAGAGACCUUAGCCGGCCCUGGAGAUGACUUUUCCUGGAGUCAUCUCCCAGGGUCCCUUUCAUCUGCGUCAUAUCACAGUUUACUUUAUACUCUGGUAAUGCAGAUUCCAGCCAGAGGCAAGUCUCUCUACUCUCCUGAUUAUUUGUUCUUAAGCAUGACUUUCUCCUUGUAGGUGUCCAGGAAACUGUUUCCUGUGGUGAUAAUCUAAUUGUAUUGAAAUAUUAUUUUGAUUU
Peromyscus maniculatus bairdii (prairie deer mouse) is the source of this 1234-nucleotide non-coding RNA. NCBI's taxonomy places the organism in Eukaryota, Metazoa, Chordata, Mammalia, Rodentia, Cricetidae. The record is from RefSeq and is a predicted model, not a curated record.